AGCCUGAUGCAGCGACGCCGCGUGAGGGAUGACGGCCUUCGGGUUGUAAACCUCUUUCGCCAGGGACGAAGCGCAAGUGACGGUACCUGGAGAAGAAGGACCGGCCAACUACGUGCCAGCAGCCGCGGUAAUACGUAGGGUCCGAGCGUUGUCCGGAAUUACUGGGCGUAAAGAGCUCGUAGGUGGUUUGUCGCGUUGUUCGUGAAAACUCACAGCUUAACUGUGGGCGUGCGGGCGAUACGGGCAGACUGGAGUACUGCAGGGGAGACUGGAAUUCCUGGUGUAGCGGUGGAAUGCGCAGAUAUCAGGAGGAACACCGGUGGCGAAGGCGGGUCUCUGGGCAGUAACUGACGCUGAGGAGCGAAAGCGUGGGGAGCGAACAGGAUUAGAUACCCUGGUAGUCCACGCCGUAAACGGUGGGUACUAGGUGUGGGUUUCCUUCCUUGGGAUCCGUGCCGUAUCUAACGCAUUAAGUACCCCGCCUGGGGAGUACGGCCGCAAGGCUAAAACUCAAAG
RNAcentral lists this ribosomal RNA (516 nucleotides) under Mycolicibacterium iranicum. RNAcentral's name for it is "bacterial SSU rRNA". It matches the Rfam family "Bacterial small subunit ribosomal RNA", at positions 380 to 906 of the family's 1533-position model. The record is from RNAcentral. Lineage: Bacteria; Bacillati; Actinomycetota; Actinomycetes; Mycobacteriales; Mycobacteriaceae.